RNAcentral lists this ribosomal RNA (2900 nucleotides) under Clostridioides difficile. RNAcentral's name for it is "bacterial LSU rRNA". It matches the Rfam family "Bacterial large subunit ribosomal RNA". Lineage: Bacteria; Bacillati; Bacillota; Clostridia; Peptostreptococcales; Peptostreptococcaceae. The record is from RNAcentral.
UGGUCAAGUUAUUAAGGGUGCAGGGCGGAUGCCUUGGCACUAGGAGCCGAUGAAGGACGUGAUAAGCUGCGAUAAGCUUCGGGGAGUUGCACGUAAACUUUGAUCCGAAGAUUUCCGAAUGAGGAAACUCACUUAGAGUAAUGUCUAAGUAUCAUUAAGUGAAUACAUAGCUUAAUGAGGGGAACUCAGGGAACUGAAACAUCUAAGUACCUGAAGGAAGAGAAAGAAAUUCGAUUCCGUAAGUAGCGGCGAGCGAACGCGGAUUAGCCCAAACCAAUAAAGUUUUCUUUAUUGGGGUUGCGGACAUAUCAUAACGAAGAGGUAUCGUAAUUGAAGAGGUUUGGAAAGACCCACCACAGAAGGUAAUAGUCCUGUAUGUUAAACGAGAAGACUUCAGAUAUGAUCCAGAGUACCACGGGACACGUGAAACCCUGUGGGAAGCAGGAGGGACCACCCUCCAAGGCUAAAUACUACCUAGUGACCGAUAGCGUAUAGUACCGUGAGGGAAAGGUGAAAAGAACCCCGGGAGGGGAGUGAAAUAGAACCUGAAACCCUGCACUUACAAGCUGUGGAAGCACAUUUCUUGUGUGACCGCGUACUUUUUGUAGAACGGGCCAACGAGUUACGUUAAGUAGCAAGGUUAAGCACUUAAGGUGUGGAGCCGUAGCGAAAGCGAGUUUUAACUGAGCGUUCAGUUACUUGACGUAGACCCGAAACCGGGCGACCUACCCAUGAGCAGGAUGAAGCGAAAGUAAAAUUUCGUGGAGGUCCGAACCCACGAGCGUUGAAAAGCUCGGGGAUGACUUGUGGGUAGCGGUGAAAUUCCAAUCGAGCCCGGAGAUAGCUGGUUCUCCCCGAAAUAGCUUUAGGGCUAGCCUCAAGGUGAGAGAUACGGAGGUAGAGCACUGAAUGUCCUAGGGGGUAUUGCACCUACCGAAGACUAUCAAACUCCGAAUGCCGUCAUCUUAUACUUGGGAGUCAGACUGUGGGUGAUAAGAUUCAUAGUCGAAAGGGCAACAGCCCAGAUCGUCAGCUAAGGUCCCUAAAUGUAAGUUAAGUGGUAAAGGAUGUGGGAUUGCACAGACAACCAGGAUGUUGGCUUAGAAGCAGCCACUCAUUCAAAGAGUGCGUAAUAGCUCACUGGUCGAGUGAUCCUGCGCCGAAGAUUUCCGGGGCUAAAACUUACUACCGAAGCUACGGCAUCAGUAAUGAUGGGUAGGGGAGCUUCCCAUACGGGUUGAAGCAUGACCGUAAGGACAUGUGGACAGUAUGGGAGUGAGAAUGUUGGCAUGAGUAGCGAGAUGUGGGUGAGAAUCCCACAGGCCGUAAACCCAAGGUUUCCAGGGGAAGGUUCGUCCGCCCUGGGUUAGUCGGGACCUAAGCUGAGGCCGAAAGGCGUAGGUGAUGGACAACAGGUUGAUAUUCCUGUACUACCGAUAACCGUUUGAGAGAAGGGAUGACACAGUAGGAUAAGCUAAGCACACUGUUGGUUAUGUGUGCCCAAGCAUUGAGGCAGUCAAAGUAGGCAAAUCCGCUUUGAUAAUGCUGGGAUGUGAUGGGGAGCGAAAUUUAGUAGCGAAGUAGCUGAUUUCACACUGUCAAGAAAAGUCUCUAUCGAGGUUAAAGGUACCCGUACCGCAAACCGACACAGGUGGGUGAGGAGAGUAUCCUAAGGCCAGCGAGAGAACUGUUGUUAAGGAACUCGGCAAAAUGACCCCGUAACUUAGGGAUAAGGGGUGCCACCAUCAGGUGGCCGCAGAGAAUAGGCCCAAGCGACUGUUUACCAAAAACAUAGGUUUCUGCUAAGUCGCAAGACGAUGUAUAGGAGCUGACGCCUGCCCGGUGCUGGAAGGUUAAGGGGAUCUGUUAGAGCAAUCGAAGCAGUGAACUUAAGCCCCAGUAAACGGCGGCCGUAACUAUAACGGUCCUAAGGUAGCGAAAUUCCUUGUCGGGUAAGUUCCGACCCGCACGAAAGGCGUAACGAUUUGGGCACUGUCUCAACAACAGACUCGGUGAAAUUGUAAUUCCGGUGAAGAUGCCGGAUACCUGCGACAGGACGGAAAGACCCCAUGGAGCUUUACUGUAGCUUGACAUUGGGUUUUGGUACUACAUGUACAGGAUAGGUGGGAGGCUUUGAAACCAGGACGCCAGUUUUGGCGGAGCCAUCCUUGGGAUACCACCCUUGUAGUACUGGGACUCUAACCAUAGGCCAUGAAUCUGGUCUUGGGACACUGUCAGGUGGGCAGUUUGACUGGGGCGGUCGCCUCCCAAAAGGUAACGGAGGCGCUCAAAGGUUCUCUCAGUACGGUCGGAAAUCGUACGUAGAGUGUAAAGGCAAAAGAGAGCUUGAUUGCAAGACAUACAGGUCGAGCAAGGAUGAAAAUCGGACUUAGUGAUCCGGUGGUUCUGCGUGGAAGGGCCAUCGCUCAACGGAUAAAAGCUACCCUGGGGAUAACAGGCUUAUCUCCCCCAAGAGUCCACAUCGACGGGGAGGUUUGGCACCUCGAUGUCGGCUCAUCACAUCCUGGGGCUGUAGUAGGUCCCAAGGGUUGGGCUGUUCGCCCAUUAAAGUGGUACGCGAGCUGGGUUCAGAACGUCGUGAGACAGUUCGGUCCCUAUCCGUCGCAGGCGUAGGAAAUUUGAGAAGACCUGUCCUUAGUACGAGAGGACCGGGAUGGACGUACCUCUGGUGUACCAGUUGUUCUGCCAAGGGCAUGGCUGGGUAGCUAUGUACGGAAUGGAUAAGCGCUGAAAGCAUCUAAGCGCGAAGCCAACUUCAAGAUAAGAUUUCCCACCGCAAGGGUAAGACCCCAGAAAGACUAUCUGGUUGAUAGGUCGAAGGUGUAAGUGCAGCAAUGUAUUUAGCUUAUCGAUACUAAUAGGUCGAGGACUUGACCAAU